This is a long non-coding RNA of Austrofundulus limnaeus, 284 nucleotides long. RefSeq lists it as uncharacterized. NCBI's taxonomy places the organism in Eukaryota, Metazoa, Chordata, Actinopteri, Cyprinodontiformes, Rivulidae. The transcript is spliced from 3 exons. The record is from RefSeq and is a predicted model, not a curated record.
UGGUGUGAGGAGAGCCUGUCUAAAAAGGGGAGGGUGUAUACAGCGCCAUCAAGGGGACUCAGUUCAGCUGCGAUGGUACUUCACAGCAAGUGUAGUUUGUAGGAAUAGGGCGAGUGUGUAGCCAAUGAUUGGGAAAGGGCCGAUGAGGAGGAGGCUAUUUUGCCCCCAAAUGGUGGCAACAGAAGACAUGGAAAACAAAAAUCAGCCAUUUUGGAUCACUCUUGGUCAGAAAAAGUGGACAAAAUAUGCAUCAAAAGGAUUUUGAUGAGUAGCUGACAUCACAG